This is an RNA transcript of Triticum aestivum (bread wheat), 3694 nucleotides long. RefSeq lists it as uncharacterized. The record is from RefSeq and is a predicted model, not a curated record. NCBI's taxonomy places the organism in Eukaryota, Viridiplantae, Streptophyta, Magnoliopsida, Poales, Poaceae. The transcript is spliced from 3 exons.
GCUUCACUUCUCUCCCAGAGAAAAAAAAACCGUCUUAUCUCGAUCCCUUUCUUCCUCGACAGUGGUGUAGAAGGAGAGGAGCACCGGCGUCCACACCGGGGAGGUCGAAGGGGAGGCGGUAGAUUGGAGGAGCCCAGCGAGCCGGUCGGCCGGCGCCAUACAGAAGCAGCGCUGCCGUCUCCUUUCCCCCACUUUUUUAGGAGCUGGAUCUGAGGUGGCCAACCGCCGCUGUCGCCGCCGCCCCGUCGGGAAAAGGCCGCCAUGUAGAUCACGCAGCAGGCCGGUCCACCCGCUAAAAUCUGUUGAUUUUGCCCUUCGUUGUAUCUUCUGCACCAUCUGCUUCUCUAUUCACCCGCCAAACAAAUGAGUAUGUGCCAUGCUUUGCAGGAAAUUCAUUGAACAUAUGUACCUCUUCUCCUGAAGCCGAUGCUGCCAUGCCUAUGAAUCGGAUAUGACCGAUGCUUUGUCAAGGGCUCAUAUGAGAGAAGAAAAGGAGGCUGGAGAUGCAGAGAAAGAAGCUCUAAGCUCAACAAAGGCAUCAGGUUAAUUUUGCUUCAAUUCUUAGGGCCAACUUAUUGUACUAUGUAAUCUAUCUAGUUAGUUACCAGAAGAUUUGCAAUAAAUAAAUAGCUGCCUGGUUCUCAAUAGGUUUGUAGCAUAGUGCCAAUUAUGUGCAACAAUACAUGUUGAGAAGACAAUCAAAUGGAAUUUAAAUACAAUAUUUUUCAAAUGCGUUCUUUGCCAGGAAAGCAGAGAGGGAGAGAGAGGGGAGCAGUAGAUGAACUAAAUGGGUUGGUUGUGUUGGGUUGCAAGCCACGAACUGAGCAUCACAAACAUCCUGUACUAACCUAGAACUAUAAUUGGUAUAUGGAUAAUAGUAUGCAGAGUUGGCCGCCGAAGCAGUAGGAGUUGUCCAGCACUGCUGCUUUAGUUGGACGGAAAAGCAGUCCUAGUUGCGCACCCAAUUUUCUUGGGUGUCUCUGUGGCAAAAUCAGUAGUACAAGUUGUGCAUAAUACUUGAUGGAGUUGGCGCAGCAAAAUAGUAAAAUUUGAGUGUCAUUUAUAUUAUUUUUUCUAUUUUUGUGGUCGAGUUUUUCUUCUAGAAGCCUGAAAUCUGAAUAUUUCAUUUCCCAAGAGUAUCUAAAUAAUUGGCAUCUCAAGAUUUUCAGUUGCACAAGAGCAUUCAGAAACAUCCAUUUUGCCUGAUUUUUGGUUUGACAAGGAUGAAAACGUCGGCAUUGGAGUCGUGGCCGUGGCAGGGAAGGCGAACCCAGCGCAGCUCUGCCAGUGGCUCAAGAGGAAGAUAAGCAAGGAUGUCAAGAUUUUCCGCCAUUGUCCACACGGGCUGAGAAUUGUAAUAAGCAGGGCUAGCCGUGUGGGGUUAAGGUGCUUGCCGGCGGCGACCUGCGUGGCUCUCAGCCUGCAUCCUCGCUGAACUCAACACCAACUAUCGCGCGCCUGCGAUGUGACUGCUGUUGCAACAACGACGGCCAACGGCUAUUGAACGACGAGGAUGCCCUUCGGGGUUAUAGCAUGCAAAGCAAAGCAGUUGCUCGAUCCUCACAGCCAAUAUAUCUCCGUGUAGAAGCAGAAGAAGCAACAAUUGAUUCAUAUAUUGAUCUUCACAUUCUUAGUUGGCAUCCAUAGUGGUUUUAGUUGUACACAUAGCCGUUCUCAGUUGGAUACGACAAUUAGAAAAUUGCACAACACUAAACCUUUUUCCUACGGCGGUGAAAGUGGAACGGUAUACAUUGAACUGAAUACACAUGGCGUUCAUUUUUUUGGCAUUUAUAGUAAUUCUUGUUGCACACAUAGUUGUUUUCGUCGGAGACGAUCAUUACUAUAGUAGUUGUAGUUGCACAUACAGUUGUUCUCAGUUGGAUCCUAUUAUUGAAAAAUUGCACACAUGGCAAUCAUUUUUUAUUGGCAUCUAUAGUAGUUUUAGUUGCACACAUAGUUGUUUUCAGUUGGACACGAUUAUUGGGAAGUUACACACACGGUGAUCAUUUUUGUUAGCAUCUAUAGUAGUUCUAAUUGCACACAUAUUUGUUCUCAAUUGGAUACGAUCAUUGGAAAGUUGCACACACGGCGACCAUUUUUUGUUGGCAUCUAUAGUACUUCUAGAUAUUAUGCACAUAAUUGUUCUUAGUUAGAUACGGUCAUUCGGAAGUUACACACACGGUGAUCAUUUUUUGUUGGCAUCUACAGUAGUUCUAGUUGCACACAUAGUUGUUUUUAGUUGGACACGAUCAUUGGAAAGUUGCACACACGGCGAUCAUUUUUGGGUGGCAUCUAUAGUAGUUCUAGUUGCACACAUAGUUGUUUUCAGUUGGAUACGGUCAUUGGAAAGUUGCACACACGGCAAUCAUUUUUUGUUGGCAUCUAUAAUAGUUCUAGUUGCACACAUAGUUGUUUUCAGUUGGACACGGUCAUUAGAAGUAGUUGGCAGGGGCAAUAGAAGUAGUUGCACAGAAUCUGCUAGUCAAAACUUCACGGUGGCGAAAGAUUCCUCUUAGUAAAACUGCAAAGAAGAAAGGCGCGCGCGGAGGCAGUAUCCAAAGGGGUAGAUGCCACAUCUUCUGCAGCAGCCGCUGUGGUAACAUAAAGUUCCAUCAGGAAUAUUUUUUUACUCCACAUACAGGCAGCCAAGUGUAUGAAUUUUCAUACAUGAUUGCAGAAGGACUAAUUAAGCAUUGGCAUGCUCAACUUUCCCAGUUGCUCAACGUUGCCAUCUUCAAGUUUUUUAGAAUUGUCCCAAGAGUAUGUAACGACUUGGCAUUCUCAGACUUUCUAGUUGCAGAAUAGUAUCUAAUUAGUUGGCAACCUCAGUAAUUCUAGUUGCACAACAAUAUAUAACUAGUUGACAUCCUCAUCUUUUCUAGUUGCACAAAAACUCAGAUUAGUCCCAUCUUAAAAAAAUUGAGGAUUUCCCUACAGUAUGUAACGACUUGGCACCCUCAGGCUUUCUAGUUGCAGAAGAGUAUCUAUUUAGUUGGCACCCUCGGCAAUUCUAAUUGGACAACAUUAUCCAAGUAGUUGACAUCCUCAGCCUCUCUAGUUGCAUAAGAAUUCAGAUUUAUCCCAUCUUAAAAUUUUUGAGGAUUGCCCAACGGUAUCUAAUCACUUGGCACCCUCAGGAUUUCUAGUUGCAGAAGAGUAUCUAUUUAGUUGGCACCCUCUACAAUUCUAGUUGGACAACAUUAUUCAAGUAGUUGUCAUCCUCAGCCUCUCUAGUUGCACAAGAAUAUCUCAUUAGUUGGCAUCAUCAGCAUUUCUAGUCGCACAAGAAUUUCUCAUUAGUUGUCAUCACCAGCAUUUCUAGUUGCAGAACAAACAUGAUAUCAAGUUGCCAUCCUCAACAUUUUAAUCUAGUUUUCCAGAGAACAAAUAUUUGUAUGUAAUGAUAACUAAUCACCUUUGCCUUUUUUUGCAAACCGCGAGAUAUUGUUCAAGGAAAUGAGAGUAAUGAAGCAGAUAAUGUUGAACGAUAGUCACAAGCUGGCUACCUGAUGGAGACUACUCUGGAUACCUGAUGUUUGAGUUGGAUAGAAUACCUGUUUUAGUUGGCUAUAAUACUCUGGAUACCUGAUGCAUUUUUUUCACCCCUGGAUAUGUUUGUUUGCAGACAUCCAUGUGAAAGUUGGUUUCAAACAAUGGUUUUCUUGCACAGGGAACUGAAUUUCUUAUGCUUUUA